AGGGUUUGAUCAUGGCUCAGAACGUACGCUGGCGGCACGCCUAACACAUGCAAGUCGAACGAAGUAGUAAUACUUAGUGGCAGACGGGUGAGUAACAUGUGGGUAUCUGCCCUUUGGCCUGGAAUAACACGAGGAAACUUGUGCUAAUACUGGAUAAGUCUUUACGGAGAAAGCUUUAUGCACCAUUGGAUGAGCCCGCACUUGAUUAGUUUGUUGGUGGGGUAAUGGCCUACCAAGACUUUGAUCAAUAGCUGAUUUGAGAGGAUGAUCAGCCACAUUGGGACUGAGACACGGCCCAAACUCCUACGGGAGGCAGCAGUGGGGAAUCUUGCACAAUGGAGGAAACUCUGAUGCAGCGAUGCCGCGUGAGUGAAGAAGGCCCUUGGGUUGUAAAGCUCUUUCGUCGGGGAAGAAAAUGACUGUACCCGAAUAAGAAGGUCCGGCUAACUUCGUGCCAGCAGCCGCGGUAAUACGAAGGGACCUAGCGUAGUUCGGAAUUACUGGGCUUAAAGAGUUCGUAGGUGGUUGAAAAAGUUGGUGGUGAAAUCCCAGAGCUUAACUCUGGAACUGCCAUCAAAACUUUUCAGCUAGAGUUUGAUAGAGGAAAGCAGAAUUUCUAGUGUAGAGGUGAAAUUCGUAGAUAUUAGAAAGAAUACCAAUUGCGAAGGCAGCUUUCUGGAUCAUUACUGACGCUGAGGAACGAAAGCAUGGGUAGCGAAGAGGAUUAGAUACCCUCGUAGUCCAUGCCGUAAACGAUGUGUGUUAGACGUUGGAAAUUUAUUUUCAGUGUCGCAGCGAAAGCGAUAAACACACCGCCUGGGGAGUACGACCGCAAGGUUAAAACUCAAAUGAAUUGACGGGGACCCGCACAAGUAGUGGAGCAUGUGGUUUAAUUCGAAGAUACGCGCAGAACCUUACCAACACUUGACAUGUUCGUCGCGACUUUAAGAGAUUAAAGUUUUCGGUUCGGCCGGACGAAACACAGGUGCUGCAUGGCUGUCGUCAGCUCGUGUCGUGAGAUGUUGGGUUAAGUCCCGCAACGAGCGCAACCCUCACUUUUAGUUGCCAUCAUUAAGUUGGGCACUCUGAAAGAACUGCCAGUGAUAAGCUGGAGGAAGGUGGGGAUGACGUCAAGUCCUCAUGGCCCUUACGUGUUGGGCUACACACGUGCUACAAUGGUAUCUACAACAGGAAGCGAAACAGCGAUGUUAAGCAAAUCCUUAAAAGAUACCUCAGUUCGGAUUGCACUCUGCAACUCGAGUGCAUGAAGCUGGAAUUACUAGUAAUCGUGGAUCAGCGUGCCACGGUGAAUGCGUUCCCGGGUCUUGUACACACCGCCCGUCACACCAUGGGAGUUGGUUCUACCUUAAGGCAAGGUUUAAUACCCUUGACCACGGUAUAGUCAGCGACUGGGGUGAAGUCGUAACAAGGUAACCGUA
This 1439-nucleotide ribosomal RNA is filed under the name uncultured bacterium. RNAcentral describes it as "bacterial SSU rRNA". It matches the Rfam family "Bacterial small subunit ribosomal RNA". The record is from RNAcentral.